GUCCGCAAGGACAUGGCAGACGGCUGCGUAACACGUUGGAACCUACCCCGAACUCAGGGAUGACCCUCCGAAAGGAGGGCUAAUACCGGAUAGUCCCGAAAGGGUAAAGAUUUUUCGGUUCGGGAGGGGCCUGCGGCCUAUCAGUUAGUUGGUGAGGUAACGGCUCACCAAGACGAUGACGGGUAGCUGAUCUGAGAGGAUGAUCAGCCAGAAUGGAACUGCGACACGGUCCAU
This 234-nucleotide ribosomal RNA is filed under the name uncultured bacterium. RNAcentral describes it as "partial 16S ribosomal RNA". It matches the Rfam family "Bacterial small subunit ribosomal RNA", at positions 83 to 334 of the family's 1533-position model. The record is from RNAcentral.